Molecule: non-coding RNA, 659 nt
Organism: Misgurnus anguillicaudatus (oriental weatherfish)
Lineage: Eukaryota; Metazoa; Chordata; Actinopteri; Cypriniformes; Cobitidae
Source: RefSeq, a predicted model, not a curated record
GAGCUCUUCCCUGGCUCAUUCACCUCUUGCCUUCAUUUGUGAAAGGAAGAAAGACUGGAGAGGGUCAAUGUGCAUCUGAAGCUACUGAUUGUGCUGUGUGAUGAGCAUCAAUCCAUGCUUUGAGGGGGAUGAAUCAGCACAGCCCUGCCUGCUCUGCGUUUGGAACAGAAGUUGCAUCCAGAGUUUUUGCAUCAUUCUGGACCAAAAAGCCAUUCCCUCCAUGAUGAAGACCACUGAUGCAGCCUUCCACUACUGUACAGUAAAACAACUACAGAACUAAAUACCAGGUUGGAACGUGUUUAAGAAAAAUGAAACGUCUUUUGAAUUGAAAUGUCUGUUUUGUUAUGGAAAAAUCUUUAGUAUUGUGAAGGAUAAGCAUUUCUGCUUGCCAGUAAGGUAAUUGCAGUGUAUUUUAAUAUUCAAGUUUUGAGUAGGGUGGCUAAUUUUUUUUAACUCUCAUUUGAUUUAUUAAAGACCUUAUAAUAAGUGGUUUUCAUGUCACUGCGCUGUGGUAUAAGAUAACUUUCAUUAUUCCAUACUGUAUUCUGUUUCUAAUUGUAGCUGAGGUAUUUAAAUAAGCAGUGUUAAAUGCAAAGUGUUGUGUGUAUCAAUGUAAAUAUUAAAUGUGAUGUACUUUAAUAAAAAGAGGUUUUGCAAUA